AAAUGCAAACUAAAACAGAUAAAACACAAAUAAAGCGCACAUAAACGAAAACAAGUAGUUCACCACCCCCAAACUUAAAAUUCACAUUGCCCUCAAUGUGAUUUGCCCGAAGUUUAAGGAUAGAAAACACCUGUUUAAGCGCCGGGACCAUCGUUGGGUUGCACUCCAAUUCCACCUUGCGCAAAAGCAUCACCAUCAUCAACAUCAUCCGACAGCUCGGGUACCGGCUCAAGGAUCGGUGCGGGCAAAGGAGCCGGUUCGGCGCACUCGGGAUUGCCGCACGCCAAAUGCCGCACAAUGGCUUGGAGCAUCUUCCCCGACCACCGUUGGAGGGAUUCGAUCGUGCUCACCUUGUGCUCCACCGUGGCAAGCCGAUUUCUCGUAAUCACCA
RNAcentral lists this long non-coding RNA (391 nucleotides) under Erythranthe guttata (spotted monkey flower). RNAcentral describes it as "long non-coding RNA (EGUT_LNC001286)". Lineage: Eukaryota; Viridiplantae; Streptophyta; Magnoliopsida; Lamiales; Phrymaceae. The record is from RNAcentral.